GCCAGUGUGGUGUAGUGGUUUGGAUGUUGGACUAAAACUCUGGAGACCAGGGUUCGAUUCCCAGCUUGGCCA
Phrynosoma platyrhinos (Desert horned lizard) is the source of this 72-nucleotide non-coding RNA. NCBI's taxonomy places the organism in Eukaryota, Metazoa, Chordata, Lepidosauria, Squamata, Phrynosomatidae. The record is from the annotation of a GenBank genome assembly.